UCUUUGUGUUACAUGACUUGAUUGUAGAAUGCAUUUGAGCUAGCCUUCAGGUAUUUGGGUGCCGGUAAAUCCCUACCCUAAUUUUGGCCAAACUCUCUCAUUUAGACAAGGAGCAGAGUAAUUUGUACUUAGAAAACUCAUUUUUUAAAUUUUUUGGUAAAAACUAAAUAUUUCUGUGGCAGUUUGGAAUAAGAUCCUGUUACCAUGAGCAUGUGGAGAUCAUUGUUAUCAGGGUAGUUUUGGCGCUGAUGGUUCAAGUACUCUGUAGUUACAAUACUUUGCCUCCCUAUGCCCUCGUUACGCAGAUGGGUUCACAUUUCAAAAGAGCAUUGUUGGAAGAACACAUAAUGCAAGCCAUAAAGCAAUGGCACGCAGAAGUGAAGAGGAAGAAAAAAAAGCAAAAGAAUAAGCUGCAGCAACAAGAAAUAAAAUUCACCUCUCUGAGAAUUGCAACGUUAGUUGAGUUUAGUGCUCAUGAAAUUUAGGAGAUCUCUGAAGAACAUGAAGAACCGGUAGAAGUAACAACAGUCCAUCAAAAUCAAUCAGAAAUAUUUGUUGACGUUGUUAAUUGUAGUUAGUUUUGGAAAAGAGAAGAGAAUACAAGUUUUCAUUAAUAGAGUACAGAAAGGAGGAC
Long non-coding RNA from Lycium ferocissimum, 634 nucleotides. RefSeq lists it as uncharacterized. Lineage: Eukaryota; Viridiplantae; Streptophyta; Magnoliopsida; Solanales; Solanaceae. The record is from RefSeq and is a predicted model, not a curated record. The transcript has 3 exons.